Molecule: ribosomal RNA, 500 nt
Filed under: uncultured bacterium
Lineage: Bacteria
Description: bacterial SSU rRNA
Rfam family: Bacterial small subunit ribosomal RNA
Source: RNAcentral
GGCGCAAGCCUGAUCCAGCAAUGCCGCGUGAGUGAAGAAGGCCUUCGGGUUGUAAAGCUCUUUCAGUUGAAAAGAAAAGACCGUGACUAAUAAUCAUGGUUCAUGACGGUAUCAACAGAAGAAGCACCGGCUAACUACGUGCCAGCAGCCGCGGUAAUACGUAGGGUGCAAGCGUUAAUCGGAAUUACUGGGCGUAAAGGGUGCGCAGGCGGUUCUGUAAGUCAGAUGUGAAAUCCCCGGGCUUAACCUGGGAACUGCGUUUGAAACUGCAGAGCUAGAGUGCGGCAGAGGGAGGUGGAAUUCCAUGUGUAGCAGUGAAAUGCGUAGAGAUAUGGAAGAACAUCGAUGGCGAAGGCAACCUCCUGGGCUAGCACUGACGCUCAUGCACGAAAGCGUGGGGAGCAAACAGGAUUAGAUACCCUGGUAGUCCACGCCCUAAACUAUGUCAACUAGUUGUCGGGCCUUAAUAGGCUUGGUAACGUAGCUAACGCGUGAAGUUG